GCUCAGAGCCUUGCUGGAAUUCUGCAUCCAGUGUUGGGUUAUAUGAGCCUAGAGAGAUGCAGAGAAUUCACAGAAGGUUCAGCUCCUCUGCAAUCCCUGGCCCUGAAGGAGUGGGCAGCCUCCCCGUGUGCUGGGCACAGCAUUGAGGCUCCCUAAGCAGGACAUGACGGAUGGACUGCACGGAGCACACCAUCGUCCCCUGCAGAGUCUGUAACGUGGGCAGACUUUUCAUAUGAACCACCCCUGCUCCAGAUCCCACCGACUGACGGUGCGAAUUUGGAGAAAUUUCUUCAUCUUGGGGUCCCAUUUUCCCCUCAUCUGUAAAACAGGGAAGAUGCCCACAAAUCACCUUGGACUCCCUGGUCGCAGCUCCACCACUGGGAAGAUGCUUUAGCACUACUGUGGAGUCCCAGUGCCAGGAAAACGCCACCUUGAGAUAUCUCAGCAAGGUGACAGCCCUGCAGUAAAGAGAGCAUACAUCACAUCUUAAAGAAACGCAGAGGUCAACCACAUAAAUGUUACAAAGGGACAAUGUUAUAUUAAUGUUAAUGUUUUGCCGUUGCUGAUAUGUUUUUGCUGAUAGGAGAGUUGACAUAUGGUUUUAUGGUAAAUUAAGGAUGAUAAAUGGAAAAAUAAGAAUGAUAAAAAUAAUGUUGUCUCAU
Long non-coding RNA from Hippopotamus amphibius kiboko, 662 nucleotides. RefSeq lists it as uncharacterized. The transcript is spliced from 4 exons. Lineage: Eukaryota; Metazoa; Chordata; Mammalia; Artiodactyla; Hippopotamidae. The record is from RefSeq and is a predicted model, not a curated record.